AGAGUUUGAUCUUGGCUCAGGAUGAACGCUGGCGGCGUGCCUAAUACAUGCAAGUCGAACGCUUUGUGGUUCAACUGAUUUGAAGAGCUUGCUCAGAUAUGACGAUGAACAUUGCAAAGAGUGGCGAACGGGUGAGUAACACGUGGGAAACCUACCUCUUAGCAGGGGAUAACAUUUGGAAACAGAUGCUAAUACCGUAUAACAAUGACAACCGCAUGGUUGUUAUUUAAAAGAUGGUUCUGCUAUCACUAAGAGAUGGUCCCGCGGUGCAUUAGCUAGUUGGUAAGGUAAUGGCUUACCAAGGCGAUGAUGCAUAGCCGAGUUGAGAGACUGAUCGGCCACAAUGGGACUGAGACACGGCCCAUACUCCUACGGGAGGCAGCAGUAGGGAAUCUUCCACAAUGGGCGAAAGCCUGAUGGAGCAACGCCGCGUGUGUGAUGAAGGGUUUCGGCUCGUAAAACACUGUUGUAAGAGAAGAAUGACAUUGAGAGUAACUGUUCAAUGUGUGACGGUAUCUUACCAGAAAGGAACGGCUAAAUACGUGCCAGCAGCCGCGGUAAU
RNAcentral lists this ribosomal RNA (562 nucleotides) under uncultured Weissella sp. RNAcentral's name for it is "bacterial SSU rRNA". It matches the Rfam family "Bacterial small subunit ribosomal RNA", at positions 8 to 524 of the family's 1533-position model. The record is from RNAcentral. Lineage: Bacteria; Bacillati; Bacillota; Bacilli; Lactobacillales; Lactobacillaceae.